This 602-nucleotide long non-coding RNA is filed under the name Cercocebus atys (sooty mangabey). RNAcentral's name for it is "lncRNA (ENSCATG00000045661.1)". The record is from RNAcentral. Lineage: Eukaryota; Metazoa; Chordata; Mammalia; Primates; Cercopithecidae.
AAUUUAUCACACUGUACUACUGGCACCUUGUCUUAUGUCUUCCUCCCACAUCAGAUCUUGAGCAACUUGCUGAUAGGAAUCUGAAACCAUUGACUAGAGGGGCUGUCAGAAGUGCCUGUUGCAUUCAGAUGUAUUUCCUCUGUUCUUUCUACUCUGUUCUACCUGUACCCAGAAAAGAAACUAGAAGAAUAAAAUCUACUGAGGUUAACAAACCUCUGAGGUGACGUAGAGAAGAACUCGAAGUGCCCUAAUGGAGGAAAGUGGCUGGGACUUCCCAGGUCAUUCGGAAGGAUACUUAGGUGGUGCCUCUACUAUUCCUGCUCCAGCUGAGCCUAUGUUUUUAAACAAAAAUACAAAUUCCUAUGUCAUAAACCAUGGUCCAUUGGCAAAUGGAAAGCAAUAAGCAAGUGACAGUAAAGAAGCUAUUGAAAAGAACAAGGACAUGGGCCAGCCCCGGACUGAAUCCCAGCCUGGCCCACACUGGCUAUGUGACCUUAGGCAGUGACUCAGUUCUCUAAGACCAGGUUUCUUCUUCUGGAAAAGCAGUAUUUGCAAAAUCCCAUGAGAAAUCGACAAGAUAAUAAUAUUUGCAAAGAACCCAC